RNAcentral lists this unclassified non-coding RNA (389 nucleotides) under Hevea brasiliensis (rubber tree). The record is from RNAcentral. Lineage: Eukaryota; Viridiplantae; Streptophyta; Magnoliopsida; Malpighiales; Euphorbiaceae.
UACAAACAAACAGUUUCACACGCAUCCUAAAAUAAAUCGCUUCAGGCUUUGAACGCCAAUCGAAGUUGGAGUAAGAUUUGCAUCUUCUGUGUGAGCAUUCUGAGGAAGAUUGCUUUAGACUUGCAUUGAAAUCUGACAUUUCCAAGGUUCAACUAGCUAAGCAGACUAUUCACAACGGACUUGUUGACAAGAAUGAUGAACUACCUCUGUCAUCUAAUCUGGGAAGACUUUGAUCUUUAAAGUUACAACAAAGUGUAUUUGAAGCUGCAGCCAAAUGGGGAACUAAAGCAAGAAAUUUUCUAAACACAAAUAUUUUCCGUUUGGUACCCGACCGAUCCGUUGUCUCCUUGUUGCUGUUGUUUGAGAAAGACGCCAAGAAGUUCAUCCUG